GAUGAACGCUGGCGGCGUGCCUAAUACAUGCAAGUCGAGCGAACAGAUGAGGAGCUUGCUCCUCUGACGUUAGCGGCGGACGGGUGAGUAACACGUGGAUAAACUACCUAUAAGACUGGGAUAAUUUCGGGAAAACGGAGCUAAUACCGGAUAAUAUAUUGAACCGCAUGGUUCAAUAGUGAAAGACGGUUUUGCUGUCACUUAUAGAUGGAUCCGCGCCGCAUUAGCUAGUUGGUAAGGUAACGGCUUACCAAGGCAACGAUGCGUAGCCGACCUGAGAGGGUGAUCGGCCACACUGGAACUGAGACACGGACCAGACUCCUACGGGAGGCAGCAGUAGGGAAUCUUCCGCAAUGGGCGAAAGCCUGACGGAACGACGCCGCGUGAGUGAUGAAGAUCUUCGGAUCGUAAAACUCUGUUAUUAGGGAAGAACAAAUGUGUAAGUAACUAUGCACGUCUUGACGGUACCUAAUCAGAAAGCCACGGCUAACUACGUG
RNAcentral lists this ribosomal RNA (497 nucleotides) under uncultured bacterium. Its description in RNAcentral is "partial 16S ribosomal RNA". It matches the Rfam family "Bacterial small subunit ribosomal RNA", at positions 28 to 507 of the family's 1533-position model. The record is from RNAcentral.